AUUGAACGCUGGCGGCAGGCCUAACACAUGCAAGUCGAACGAGUGGCGGACGGGUGAGUAAUGUCUGGGAAACUGCCUGAUGGAGGGGGAUAACUACUGGAAACGGUAGCUAAUACCGCAUACCAUCAGAUGUGCCCAGAUGGGAUUAGCUUGUUGGUGGGGUAACGGCUCACCAAGGCGACGAUCCCUAGCUGGUGUGAGAGGAAGACCAGCCACACUGGAGCUGAGACAAGGUCCAGACUCCUACGAGAAGCAGCAGUGGGGAAUAUUGCACAAGGGGCGCAAUCCUGAAGCAGCAAUGCAGGGUGUAUGAAGAAGGCCUUCGGGUUGUAAAGUACUUUCAGCGGGGAGGCGUUACCCGCAGAAGAAGCACCGGCUAACUCCGUGCCAGCAGCCGCGGUAAUUC
RNAcentral lists this ribosomal RNA (406 nucleotides) under uncultured bacterium. Its description in RNAcentral is "partial 16S ribosomal RNA". It matches the Rfam family "Bacterial small subunit ribosomal RNA", at positions 30 to 526 of the family's 1533-position model. The record is from RNAcentral.